UGCAAGUCGAGCGGACAGAUGGGAGCUUGCUCCCUGAUGUUAGCGGCGGACGGGUGAGUAACACGUGGGUAACCUGCCUGUAAGACUGGGAUAACUCCGGGAAACCGGGGCUAAUACCGGAUGGUUGUUUGAACCGCAUGGUUCAAACAUAAAAGGUGGCUUCGGCUACCACUUACAGAUGGACCCGCGGCGCAUUAGCUAGUUGGUGAGGUAACGGCUCACCAAGGCAACGAUGCGUAGCCGACCUGAGAGGGUGAUCGGCCACACUGGGACUGAGACACGGCCCAGACUCCUACGGGAGGCAGCAGUAGGGAAUCUUCCGCAAUGGACGAAAGUCUGACGGAGCAACGCCGCGUGAGUGAUGAAGGUUUUCGGAUCGUAAAGCUCUGUUGUUAGGGAAGAACAAGUACCGUUCGAAUAGGGCGGUACCUUGACGGUACCUAACCAGAAAGCCACGGCUAACUACGUGCCAGCAGCCGCGGUAAUACGUAGGUGGCAAGCGUUGUCCGGAAUUAUUGGGCGUAAAGGGCUCGCAGGCGGUUUCUUAAGUCUGAUGUGAAAGCCCCCGGCUCAACCGGGGAGGGUCAUUGGAAACUGGGGAACUUGAGUGCAGAAGAGGAGAGUGGAAUUCCACGUGUAGCGGUGAAAUGCGUAGAGAUGUGGAGGAACACCAGUGGCGAAGGCGACUCUCUGGUCUGUAACUGACGCUGAGGAGCGAAAGCGUGGGGAGCGAACAGGAUUAGAUACCCUGGUAGUCCACGCCGUAAACGAUGAGUGCUAAGUGUUAGGGGGUUUCCGCCCCUUAGUGCUGCAGCUAACGCAUUAAGCACUCCGCCUGGGGGAGU
This 845-nucleotide ribosomal RNA is filed under the name Bacillus subtilis. Its description in RNAcentral is "bacterial SSU rRNA". It matches the Rfam family "Bacterial small subunit ribosomal RNA", at positions 56 to 881 of the family's 1533-position model. The record is from RNAcentral. Lineage: Bacteria; Bacillati; Bacillota; Bacilli; Caryophanales; Bacillaceae.